RNAcentral lists this ribosomal RNA (466 nucleotides) under uncultured bacterium. Its description in RNAcentral is "partial 16S ribosomal RNA". It matches the Rfam family "Bacterial small subunit ribosomal RNA", at positions 29 to 506 of the family's 1533-position model. The record is from RNAcentral.
ACGAACGCUGGCGGCGUGCUUAACACCUGCAAGUCGAACGGAAAGGCCCUGCUUUUGUGGGGUGCUCGAGUGGCGAACGGGUGAGUAACACGUGAGUAACCUGCCCUUGACUUUGGGAUAACUUCAGGAAACUGGGGCUAAUACCGGAUAGGAGCUCCUGCUGCAUGGUGGGGGUUGGAAAGUUUCGGCGGUUGGGGAUGGACUCGCGGCUUAUCAGCUUGUUGGUGGGGUAGUGGCUUACCAAGGCUUUGACGGGUAGCCGGCCUGAGAGGGUGACCGGCCACAUUGGGACUGAGAUACGGCCCAGACUCCUACGGGAGGCAGCAGUGGGGAAUAUUGCACAAUGGGCGGAAGCCUGAUGCAGCAACGCCGCGUGCGGGAUGACGGCCUUCGGGUUGUAAACCGCUUUCGCCUGUGACGAAGCGUGAGUGACGGUAAUGGGGAAAGAAGCACCGGCUAACUACGU